Carassius auratus (goldfish) is the source of this 2147-nucleotide non-coding RNA. Lineage: Eukaryota; Metazoa; Chordata; Actinopteri; Cypriniformes; Cyprinidae. The record is from RefSeq and is a predicted model, not a curated record.
CGGCCGAAUAAGUAAAAAGGCCAAAUAAAUUUUGCCGAACAAUGACGUUUUUAAUGACGCAAUCAAAUAACCCGCGUAGAGUGAGAGGCGCGCGCUUUAUGGAGCAAACAUGUCAGCAGUGUGGAAGCACUUUAAAGUGUCAGAGAAAGAGGCAAAAACGGCCGUUUGCAGACAUUGUUCUGCAGAAUUGUCCAGAGGGGGUGCAUCUGCAAAAACGUACAGCACUUCAAGUUUAAUUUAUCACUUAAAAUCAAGACACCCCGAACAUCAUGCAGAGUACGAGAAAGACACGGCGGCGGCUACGGCAACAGCAGCAGCGAAAAGAAAAGCAGCUCCCAGUCCUACGACACCCACUCCAUCUGUGGCUGACUUCUUAGAAAAGGCAAAAAAGUUUGCCAAUGACAGUGCCAAAGCUAAAGGUAUUACUAAAAGGAUAAUGGAAUUCAUCGCAUUGGAUGAUCAACCAUUCUCUGUUGUAGAGGAUGUUGGAUUUCGCAGGCUUAUAGACCAUAUUGAGCCCCGUUACACCAUCCCUAGUAGACGGCAUUUCUCAGACGUGUGCUUACCUGAGAUGUAUAACGUCGUUUCAACUAACGUCCAUGAGCUUUUGGCUACAGAUAUUGCAGCCCUCAGCUUCACGACUGAUAUUUGGAGCUCGGAUGUGAGCCCCACUAGUAUGCUGAGUUUAACUGCGCAGUGGAUCGACACAGAUUUCAAGCUACAAAAGAUUGUGCUUCACUCACAAGAAUUUAGAGGGUCCCAUACAGCUGUAGCCAUAUCCGAGGCGUUCGCCAACAUGUUUGACACUUGGCGUAUUGACCGAUCUAAAGUGCACGCGGUAGUCAGUGACAACGCAAGAAAUAUGGCUAAAGCCAUGGAAGAUAGCAAUCUGAAAGGCAUACGGUGUAUGGCACACACAAUUCAACUGGCGGUCAACGAGGGAUUGUUGAGUCAGCGCAGUAUAGCAGAUGUGAUAGCUAUAGGCAGGAAAAUUGUUGGCCAUUUUAAACAUUCACCGCUUGCCUAUGCGCGCCUACAAUCUAUCCAAGAACAGUUCGGAAUGCCACAAAAACGUUUCCAACAAGAUGUGAGCACAAGGUGGAACAGUACAUAUUAUAUGCUGGAAAGCCUUUUUGCGCAAAAGCGAGUCUUGGCUACAUACAUAGCAGAUCAUGACCUGCCAGCGACAUUCACCGCAUACCAGUGGGUGUUAAUCGAGAACGUUCUCUCUCUUCUCGCCCCCUUUGAGCAGAUAACAAAAGAGAUAAGCUCAUCUGAUGCAUCUGUGGCAGACGUCAUACCCUUACUUGCAGCACUAAAGCGUCUUUUAAACAAAGAGGCUGAAACAGACCACGGAGUGAAAACAACUAAAAGUGCGCUCUUAGAAGCUGUCAGCACAUGAUUUAGUCAGGCGGACUCAGAACCCCUAUACUGCAUCGCGACUGUGCUUGAUCCACGAUACAAAGAUCAUUACUUGGAUGUGGGGAAAAAGAUGCGCACACGAGAAAUGAUCCAGGCCGAGUUGGAUUUGGGAAAGCCGCUAGGUGAUGGAGACGGUCAGGUGAUGCACAGCGCAGGAGAUGAAAACAGCGCAGAGAGUAAACGGGCUCGUACUACAGAUGAGCCGCGCACAGUCUCGCUGUCUGACAUGUUCGAUGAGAUCCUCCAAGAGAAUAACCCAUUUGCAAGACAGAUGACAAGCUCGACCGCUCAACAGUUAGAUGGGUAUCUCUCAGAAGUCCCCAUCCCCAGGAGCAAUAACCCUCUCGAGUUUUGGAGGACCAAUCAAGGCCGCUUUCCCGACCUGGCGCAGAUGGCACGCAGGUACUUGUCUGCCCCAUGCACAAGCACCGACAGUGAGAGACUGUUUAGUGCUGCAUGUCAUGUCAUCGAUGAGAAGAGGAACCGACUUUCAUGUGAGAAAGCAGAGAAGCUACUUUUCAUAAAGAAGAACCUGCCACUUUUCCUGAAGAAGUAGGCUAAGUAGGCUUAUGUCUAGGACAGUUAUUCAUUUGUUGUGGGUUCAUCAACAUUUUUUGCACUAUUCAAUGCACAUGUGUUGUUGUAGACAUACAGAGUUACAUUCAGCAGUCAGUUAUAGGCCUAACAUAGGCUAUUAAAGAAGGGGGGCUUCAAAGAUGGCUUUU